This 25-nucleotide small RNA is filed under the name Bombyx mori (domestic silkworm). RNAcentral's name for it is "ovarian small RNA-10387". Lineage: Eukaryota; Metazoa; Arthropoda; Insecta; Lepidoptera; Bombycidae. The record is from RNAcentral.
AACGAUAUUAACGUGGUGAAAGAUC